This is a non-coding RNA of Characodon lateralis, 72 nucleotides long. The record is from the annotation of a GenBank genome assembly. NCBI's taxonomy places the organism in Eukaryota, Metazoa, Chordata, Actinopteri, Cyprinodontiformes, Goodeidae.
GGUUCUGUGGUGUAAUGGUUAGCACUCUGGCCUAUGAAUCCGGUGAUCUGAGCUCAAAUCUCAGUGGAAACU